AUGACCUCAACUCAGGCAAGACUACCUGCUGAACUUAAGCAUAUCAGUAAGCAGAGGAAAAGAAAACAACUGUGAUUCCCUUAGUAACUGCGAGUGAAGCGGGAAAAGCCCAUCGUUUAAUCUUCCCGGACCAUGGACGGGACGAAAUGUAACGGUAUGGAUAGGUUCUCUACCAACUAUGUCUGAUCAAAGUCCUCCGGAUUGAGGUGCCAAAGAGGGUGACAGCCCCGUGUGUGAUUGGAUGGCGUUGGGUAUGUGACCGAUUCCGAGAGUCGGGUUGUUUGGGACUGCAACCUAAAGCAGGUGGUAAACUCCACCCAAGGCUAAAUAUUGACACGAAACCGAUAGCGAACAAGUACUGUGAAGGAAAGUUGAAAAGAACUCUGAAAAGAGAGUUAAAAGUACGUGAAACCGCUAACGGGGAAGCGGAAGGCAGUGUCGAGAUUGAGUGAGUGAGUUGGUUCAAGUGCGUUUGGUGUGUCGUGUUGGCGGUGUGUAAUGUGCGCUUGGAUCGGCUAGCUUUGCUUGAUGCGUCAGGACUAUUGGUGUGCGACGGUUCAAUCGUCAGCAUGGCUGUCACGGAACACUCAAAUGUUUCGUGGUUGCGGCUGGUGAUCCGCCUCGUGUGCUGAUAUGUAUGUGAUGGAGCGUUGGUGAUGUAUGGUCGGUUGGUGCUGUGCGGCGUUUCGUGCUGGUCACAUUGUGGCUACGUGCGGAAAAGUCGUGUGGUAGUUCAACAACCAGUGCUAGCUCCUGACGUGAUACCUAACUUUCCGACCCGUCUUGAAACACGGACCAAGGAGGCAGAAUCUAGAGCGAGUUGGAGGGUGCAAAACCCGACGGCGCAGUGAAAGCGAGAGAUGAGAUCCGGGGGUCUCGGCCCUCGGAGCAUCAUCGGCCAGUCACUCUGUGAUUGAGUUUGAGCUGUAGAUGCUGGACCCGAAAGAUGGUGAACUAUGCGUGAGCAGGGCGAAGCCAGAGGAAACUCUGGUGGAGGCUCGAAGCGAUUCUGACGUGCAAAUCGAUCGUUUGACUUGCGUAUAGGGGCGAUAGACUAAUCGAACCAUCUAGUAGCUGGUUCCCUUCGAAAUAUCCCUCAGGAUCGCUGAGACAAGUGGGAGACAGUUUCAUCGGGUAGAGCGAAUGAUUAGAGGAAUCGGGGAUAUAUUACUCUCGACCUAUUCUCAAACUUCCAACCGGUGAGAGUGCUGUUUACUUGAUUGAAACGGGCACGCGGAAUGUCUUUGUCUCAAGUGGGCCAUUUUUGGUAAGCAGAACUGGCGAUGCGGGAUGAACCGAGAGUUGAGCUAAGGUGCCUAACGACACGUUGAUAGAUACCACAAAAGGAGUCGGUCGAUAAAGACAGCAGGGCGGUGGCCCUGAAAGUAGGAAUCCGCUAAGGAAUUGUCUAAAAACUCACCUGCCGAAUCGACCGGCCCUGAAAAUGGAUGGCGCUGAAGCGUGUGACCGAUGCUCGACCUCUACCACGAGAGAUGUUGGUAGGGGGUAGAAGGGCGCGGCGGUAGCGACAAAGUACAAAGUGUAAACUUGUAUGGAGCUGCCGUCGGUGUAGAUCUUGGUGGUAGUAGCAAUUAUAAAAGUGAAAACCUUUUAGGCCGAAGUGGAGAAGGGUUCCACGUGAACAGCAGUUGGACGUGGGUUAGUCGGUCCUAAGCGGUUGCCUAACGGCUAGUGAAAAGCCAACUUAUGGUCGCACUUGUGUGGCUAAAUAUAAUAGGUUGGAAUCCGCGAAAGGGAAUCAGGUUAAUAUUCCUGAACCGGGCUAUGGAGACGCUGCCUUGUGCGUUAUUGCCAAUUCGUUGGUGGUGGCGUUGGGGUAGCUUAGCGGUAACGCAAACAAUCUCGGAGACGUUGACAUCUAUGGCGGGGAGAAUUAUCUUUUCUGCAUAACAGGUAAAUCACCUUGGAAUCGAGUCAUUCGGAGAUAAGGUAAAAAGCCUGGAAGAGCACCGCAACUAUUGCAGUGUCCGCAGUGUAGGUGUCGGCCCUUGAAAAUCCGAGGGAGUGGAUAAAUUUCAUGCCCGUCCGUACCGAAUCCGCAUCAGGUCUCCUAGGUGAGCAGCCUCUGGCACUGGAACAAUGUAGGUAAGGGAAGUCGGCAAAAUAGAUCCGUAACUUUGGGAAAAGGAUUGGCUCUAAGGGCCGGGCCAAUCGAGCUAGUAUUGCCUAGGCUAGUGGGGGCUUGACUGGGUUUGCUCGGGGGCAACUCUGAGUAGGCUUGGUCUUGCAAACGCUGGCCAUGGAAUGCCGGCGUGAAUUUCGGUCGGCUGAGCGGCCGCAAGGUUUGUUCAGUUGAUGGGGUUCUUUACGAGUGGCAAGCAUCGGUCAGCUUAGAACUGUUACCAACUUGGGGAAUCCGACUGUUUAAUUAAAACAAAGCAUUGCGAUGGCCGGAAACGGUGUUGACGCAAUGUGAUUU
RNAcentral lists this ribosomal RNA (2440 nucleotides) under Kudoa hexapunctata. RNAcentral's name for it is "eukaryotic LSU rRNA". It matches the Rfam family "Eukaryotic large subunit ribosomal RNA", at positions 1 to 2197 of the family's 3401-position model. The record is from RNAcentral. Lineage: Eukaryota; Metazoa; Cnidaria; Myxozoa; Multivalvulida; Kudoidae.